UCGGGAAACCGGAGCUAAUACCGGAUAAUAUAUUGAACCGCAUGGUUCAAUAGUGAAAGACGGUCUUGCUGUCACUUAUAGAUGGAUCCGCGCCGCAUUAGCUAGUUGGUAAGGUAACGGCUUACCAAGGCAACGAUGCGUAGCCGACCUGAGAGGGUGAUCGGCCACACUGGAACUGAGACACGGUCCAG
RNAcentral lists this ribosomal RNA (191 nucleotides) under uncultured Staphylococcus sp. RNAcentral describes it as "partial 16S ribosomal RNA". It matches the Rfam family "Bacterial small subunit ribosomal RNA", at positions 149 to 334 of the family's 1533-position model. Lineage: Bacteria; Bacillati; Bacillota; Bacilli; Caryophanales; Staphylococcaceae. The record is from RNAcentral.